CGCGUAGGCGGUCUCUAAAGUCAGAUGUGAAAGCCCGGGGCUUAACCCCGGAAGUGCAUUUGAAACUUAGGGACUUGAGUAUGGGAGAGGGAAGUGGAAUUCCUGGUGUAGCGGUGAAAUGCGUAGAUAUCAGGAGGAACACCAGUGGCGAAGGCGACUUCCUGGACCAAUACUGACGCUGAGGCGCGAAGGCGUGGGGAGCAAACAGGAUUAGAUACCCUGGUAGUCC
This 229-nucleotide ribosomal RNA is filed under the name uncultured bacterium. RNAcentral's name for it is "partial 16S ribosomal RNA". It matches the Rfam family "Bacterial small subunit ribosomal RNA", at positions 568 to 796 of the family's 1533-position model. The record is from RNAcentral.